GGAGGCUUUGAAGUGUGGACGCCAGUCUGCAUGGAGCCGGCCUUGAAAUACCACCCUUUAAUGUUUGAUGUUCUAACGUUGGCCCCUGAUCGGGGUUGCGGACAGUGUCUGGUGGGUAGUUUGACUGGGGCGGUCUCCUCCUAAAGAGUAACGGAGGAGCACGAAGGUUGGCUAAUCCUGGUCGGACAUCAGGAGGUUAGUGCAAUGGCAUAAGCCAGCUUGACUGCGAGCGUGACGGCGCGAGCAGGUGCGAAAGCAGGUCAUAGUGAUCCGGUGGUUCUGAAUGGAAGGGCCAUCGCUCAACGGAUAAAAGGUACUCCGGGGAUAACAGGCUGAUACCGCCCAAGAGUUCAUAUCGACGGCGGUGUUUGGCACCUCGAUGUCGGCUCAUCACAUCCUGGGGCUGAAGUAGGUCCCAAGGGUAUGGCUGUUCGCCAUUUAAAGUGGUACGCGAGCUGGGUUUAGAACGUCGUGAGACAGUUCGGUCCCUAUCUGCCGUGGGCGCUGGAGAACUGAGGGGGGCUGCUCCUAGUACGAGAGGACCGGAGUGGACGCAUCACUGGUGUUCGGGUUGUCAUGCCAAUGGCACUGCCCGGUAGCUAAAUGCGGAAGAGAUAAGUGCUGAAAGCAUCUAAGCACGAAACUUGCCCCGAGAUGAGUUCUCCCUGAGACUUAGAGUCUCCUGAAGGAACGUUGAAGACGACGACGUUGAUAGGCCGGGUGUGUAAGCGCAGCGAUGCGUUGAGCUAACCGGUACUAAUGAACCGUGAGGCUUAACCUUACAACGCCGAAG
RNAcentral lists this ribosomal RNA (793 nucleotides) under Escherichia coli. Its description in RNAcentral is "partial 23S ribosomal RNA". It matches the Rfam family "Bacterial large subunit ribosomal RNA", at positions 2150 to 2925 of the family's 2925-position model. Lineage: Bacteria; Pseudomonadati; Pseudomonadota; Gammaproteobacteria; Enterobacterales; Enterobacteriaceae. The record is from RNAcentral.